UAGCAAUACACUUGUAAAGCGGCGAACGGGUGAGGAAUACAUGGGUAAUCUACCAUCGAGUGGGGAAUAACCAGCCGAAAGGUUGGCUAAUACCGCGUACGCCUCCGAAUCUUCGGGUACGGAGGGAAAGCCGCACUGUGAGUGCGGCGCUCUUUGAUGAGCUCAUGUCCUAUCAGCUUGUUGGUAGGGUAACGGCCUACCAAGGCUUUGACGGGUAGCUGGUCUGAGAGGACGAUCAGCCACACUGGCACUGCGACACGGGCCAGACUCCUACGGGAGGCAGCAGUAAGGAAUAUUGCGCAAUGGGCGAAAGCCUGACGCAGCGACGCCGCGUGGGGGAUGAAGGUCUUCGGAUUGUAAACCCCUUUCGGGAGGGAAGAUGGGACGAGCAAUCGUUCGGACGGUACCUCCAGAAGCAGCCACGGCCAACUUCGUGCCAGCAGCCGCGGUAAUACGAAGGUGGCAAGCGUUGUUCGGAUUCACUGGGCGUACAGGGUGUGUAGGCGGUUUGGUAAGCCUUCUGUUAAAGCUUCGGGCCCAACCCGGAAAGCGCAGAGGGUACUGCCAGGCUAGAGGGUGGGAGAGGAGCGCGGAAUUCCCGGUGUAGCGGUGAAAUGCGUAGAGAUCGGGAGGAAGGCCGGUGGCGAAGGCGGCGCUCUGGAACAUACCUGACGCUGAGACACGAAAGCGUGGGGAGCAAACAGGAUUAGAUACCCUGGUAGUCCACGCCCUAAACUAUGGAUACUA
RNAcentral lists this ribosomal RNA (747 nucleotides) under uncultured bacterium. RNAcentral's name for it is "bacterial SSU rRNA". It matches the Rfam family "Bacterial small subunit ribosomal RNA", at positions 77 to 818 of the family's 1533-position model. The record is from RNAcentral.